This is a small nucleolar RNA of 89 nucleotides. It matches the Rfam family "A. fimigatus snoRNA Afu_199". The record is from Rfam.
UUACAUGAUGAGAGAACUUUAAUUAGCUCUAGAUCAGAAGCCACAUCUUUGCGGCAGUGACUGAAUCAUCUGCAUGUAUUAUCUGAUGU